AAACGGGGAUUAAUACCGCAUAAUAUGCCGAAGUCGCAUGACUUUGGUAUUAAAGCAGCAAUGCACCUAGAGAUGAGUGUGCGUCCAUUAGGUAGUUGGUGAGGUAACGGCUCACCAAGCCUAUGAUGGGUAGCCGGUCUGAGAGGAUGGUCGGCCACACGGGCACUGAGACACGGGCCCGACUCCUACGGGAGGCAGCAGUAAGGAAUAUUGGUCAAUGGUGGAAACACUGAACCAGCCAUGCCGCGUGGAGGAAUAAGGUCCUACGGAUUGUAAACUCCUUUUGACGAGGAAGAAAAUGUUAGAUUUAUCUAAUUUUGACGGUACUCGUAGAAUAAGCACCGGCUAACUCCGUG
Molecule: ribosomal RNA, 356 nt
Filed under: uncultured bacterium
Lineage: Bacteria
Description: bacterial SSU rRNA
Rfam family: Bacterial small subunit ribosomal RNA
Source: RNAcentral